Molecule: long non-coding RNA, 2380 nt
Organism: Pyrus x bretschneideri (Chinese white pear)
Lineage: Eukaryota; Viridiplantae; Streptophyta; Magnoliopsida; Rosales; Rosaceae
Exons: 3
Source: RefSeq, a predicted model, not a curated record
AAUGGAAAGCAGCUAUUUCCUGCUUUCAAAAAGCAGCUUUUUAUCACAGCAACACGGGUAAACAGUAACCUUUAAUGAAAAUUUUCAAAUGGCGAUCCUACCUCACCCCACUCCUCGCGUCUCACUUCUCUUCCUUGUUCUGGCAUCUCAGUUCUCUCCCUCUCGUCUUCACUCAUUCACUCCCAGCAGCCGCCAAACUGAAACUUCUUCCUUCCUCCCAGCGAUCUCUCUCGUUCUCCAGGUCACGUUCUCCGGCUCGACGUCCUUCCUCUGAUUCCGGAGCCCCUUACUGGGAAAGUUUGGAAAUUGGAAGAUUUUGAAUCACAUCCUGCUUUACUGGUGAGUUCUUGCUUUGUGUUUUUCUUCAAUGGUGUUUUGGAUGGUUAUUGUUUGUUUGAUUUUCUUAUUAUCUGUCAUAUUAUAUGUCAUGUAUUGGAUAUUGGCAAUUAGUUAGAGUGGAUUUUUAGAUUAAUUAACAUGAAUGGUGGGUUCUUAAAUAACAACUGCAACUGCAAAUGACAUGACAAUUGCUAUUUUAGUGGAAAUCAGAGGACGUUAAAACGUAAUGGUUGUUCUUGUAAUGUCGAAUUGUUUAGAAUAAGCUGCAGAGCUACCUACAAUUUGUUCAUUGAUUUAGUCAAUGACCCUAAUGAAAUAAGGUAGGUUCCUUAGAUUUAUAAGGCCUAUCGUCUGUCAUAUCAUAGGGCAUAAGUUUCUAAGAGCUGCACAGCAGAUUGGGCAGAGGGGAAGGUAAGGUUGUGGGUCUGCGUGAUUAAGAUGACUCGUGCCAGCUUGAUUCUGGUGGUGAUGUUGAUUUGCAUGACCACAAGGCUUCAAAGUUGCUGCAUUAUAAUUCUGCUUCUGGAAUUUUAUGCUUCUACUUUUAUUGGGCUUAAGUGCGGGUUGAUAUAUUUGAAUUUUUAAGUUGGCUUCUGUAGAGAUUAGAAGGUUGCUUAACUAUCCAAAAAGGAAAAUAGAGCAUAUAAGUGGCUGUGGAUAGCCUAUUUCUGGGUUGGUAGGCUUCACAUUGACCAGUAUAAUUCUCUCUACAUGCAAGUUGGUGGGUACUGUCUUGUUUCAUCACUCUUGCAAGGACUGAUUUCUUACUCUCACUUUGGCCAAUUUCAAAAGUCCAAUGUGGAUUCUGGAUCUUCUGGUUUCAAGAAUGUUCUAGUAGAUGCUUGGCUGAGGCCCUUUUGAUGCCUUAUUGUACAUUUUCGAUCUUUUGCUUAUAAAACAGUAGCUUACAUCCCUGUAUCCUAUGGUCUGGAGUCUAACUGAACUAAUGAGUCCCUGUAGAGUUUUGUGCAUUUGUACUGAUGUUUAGCUUGUGUGUCAUUCCCUUAAUGGGCAUCAUUUAAGCUUGUGUGUCAUUUCCUCAGGGAUAGAUCAACAACGUUUAUGCCUCAAAUAAAACAAUGUCACAUAUAUAUUUGUGUGUGUGGAUACAUAACAAUGCCAUGCCCUGCUUUAUUUCUUAUUAAAUGAACAUUUUGUCUUAUUAAGUUAGCCAUGGCCCUUAUAAACAAUCCAAGCUCCUGCUGUUUGAUGGUUCUGUGAAUUGCUGUCAUUUGUUCUUGUUUUAAUAUAUAUAUAUAUAUAUAUGUGUGUGUGUGUGUGUGUGUGUGUGUGUGUGUGUGUGUGUGUGUGUGUGUGUGUAUGCAAAUCAGUAGUUGGUAUCGAAGGCAAAGAAGGGGGCAUCUUCAUCAAAUCCUUCAGCUACAUGGAAUGCCUACAAUAUAUCUAUAUUUUGUGAUAUUUGCAUCAAGGAGGUUGAGGCCGGAAAUCCUCUAAGCACUCACUUUAACAAAGAAGGAUAUGCAAAUAUUAGAGCUAACUUUAAGGCAGAGACAGGGCAUGAUUAUGAAACUGAAAAAUAAGUGGGAUGCACUUAAAAAUGAGUGGAAGUUGUGGAAAGAGUGAGUUGGUAAAGAAACUGGCCUAGGGUGGAAUUCGAGCAAUGGUACCUUUGAUGCCUCUGAGGAGUGGUGGAAUAAUAAACUUCAGAUAAACAAAGAAUAUGGAAAAUUGCAAAAAAAUGGCAUUAGUCCUAAGAUGGAGGACAAGUUAGAUAGGAUGUUCUCGAAUAUAGUUGCUACUGGUGAACAUGUUUGGGCACCUUCAUAACUACAUACGGAGGUAUUCUGAAUGUGAUCGUCAUUUUGAUGACCUCAGGGACUAUUGUGAAGAGAGCGAUAGUAGUGAUGAUGCUGAUGACGAAUACCAAAAUUAUCAAGUUGAAGGAUCAAAUGAAAUAGAAGCAUUAAGAAAUAGAAUAGCGGCAAGUUUGAUGAAUGCAUCUAAUUAGACUACUUUCAAGUACAUUAACAAUAUUGUAUUAAUGAAUCCUAGCUAUUUAGUCUAAAAUAUUUCAAUUGAA